AGCGAACUUUCCAGAGAUGGAUUGGUGCCUUCGGGAACGCUGAGACAGGUGCUGCAUGGCUGUCGUCAGCUCGUGUUGUGAAAUGUUGGUUAAGUCCCGCAACGAGCGCAACCCUUAUCCUUUGUUGCCAGCGAUUCGGUCGGGAACUCAAAGGAGACUGCCGGUGAUAAACCGGAGGAAGGUGGGGAUGACGUCAAGUCAUCAUGGCCCUUACGAGUAGGGCUACACACGUGCUACAAUGGCGCAUACAAAGAGAAGCGACCUCGCGAGAGCAAGCGGACCUCAUAAAGUGCGUCGUAGUCCGGAUCGGAGUCUGCAACUCGACUCCGUGAAGUCGGAAUCGCUAGUAAUCGUGGAUCAGAAUGCCACGGUGAAUAUGUUCCCGGGCCUUGUACACACCGCCCGUCACACCAUGGGAGUGGGUUGCAAAAGAAGUAGGUAGCUUAACCUUCGGGAGGGCGCUUACCACUUUGUGAUUCAUGACUGGGGUGAAGUCGUAACAAGGUAAGCGUAGCGAG
RNAcentral lists this ribosomal RNA (518 nucleotides) under uncultured bacterium. RNAcentral describes it as "bacterial SSU rRNA". It matches the Rfam family "Bacterial small subunit ribosomal RNA", at positions 990 to 1509 of the family's 1533-position model. The record is from RNAcentral.